This is a small nucleolar RNA of Mus spicilegus (steppe mouse), 133 nucleotides long. Ensembl annotates it as predicted gene, 24433. The record is from Ensembl. NCBI's taxonomy places the organism in Eukaryota, Metazoa, Chordata, Mammalia, Rodentia, Muridae.
CCUGCCCCUAGAGACAUUGCUGUUAUGGCUGCUGUAUCACAUGUGUAUCAGUAGGUGGCAGAGACGAGACAGGCUGUGUAUAUGCUCUGUGUUCUGACCUGGUAUACCCCCGGAAAAAGGCGAGCCUAAGACA